RNAcentral lists this ribosomal RNA (265 nucleotides) under uncultured archaeon. RNAcentral's name for it is "partial 16S ribosomal RNA". It matches the Rfam family "Archaeal small subunit ribosomal RNA", at positions 717 to 982 of the family's 1478-position model. The record is from RNAcentral.
ACACGACUACAUUAGAUACCCGGGUAGUCCCAGCCCUAAACGAUGCGCGUUAGGUGUAUCGGUGACCACGAGUCACCGAGGUGCCGAAGGGAAACCGUGAAACGUGCCGCCUGGGAAGUACGGUCGCAAGGCUGAAACUUAAAGGAAUUGCCGGGGGAGCACCACAACGGGUGGAGCCUGCGGUUUAAUUGGACUCAACGCCGGGAAGCUCACCGGAUAAGACAGCGGAAUGAUUGCCGGGCUGAAGACCCUGCAUGACCAGCUG